CACCUGGUUGUCCUAGAUAUUUCUCUGUGUAUGCCAUAUCAUUUCUUUCUUAUCUGUAUGCCAUAGCAUCUCACUUUUUUUCUUUUCAAUUUCUCAUCAUCUUCAUCCGACCAUUAGCAGAUUUUUCAUGUUGGAUUGUUAAUGUUACUACUCGAUUAAGGAUUUCUUUUGUAGCUGUCAGCUUUGCCAGUCGCCCAUGACAAAUAGAAGACAAUGACUCCUUUAUUCUCCAGCUAUAAAAUAGGUUCAACAUCUGCUGCAUCUUGACUUCAAAAAUUAUUCAAAACAUAGGUUUGCACAAAUCAUUUGCUAUAUACUGUCAUAUUUUAAUUGUAGACCCCCCUCUCUCCUUCAAUCACUUUUUCUACUUUUCUUCCUCAAAAUUGUUCUCAAUGUGCAGAUCUUACAAAAAGUAAAAAAUCUACCAUCAAUAUUAGCCGGCUACGCUUUGAUUAUGCUCAGUUGAAAAAAAAAAUUAUACGUUCUGGGGUGUUAAAAAGUUUCAAUAUGAAACUCUCAAAUUUUGUUGUGGAGGUACGAUCAAGUUAACUUCUCAUAUAAUGUCAGCUAAUCUAAGAAGUUUAUAUUUGAGAAAUGAUGUCGAAUCCAAGCAUUUUCAAACAUAUAUUUGAACAUAUAAUAAUUUGUUCGCGUUUAUAUUGCUUCGUGUUAAUUAUGCUAAAUAAUUAGCGUGAAGAGAUCAUGGUAUCUACACAUUCAAAGUUCAAGGACAAAUGUAUCACUUGAUAACUAACUUAUAUCUCAAAGAAAAAAGGUCUAAGAAAUUUACAACUAUUCUUUUAUGACAACACAAAUGAACUUGAAAAUCGAAUGGCCUACUCUGACAAAUUGCAUGAAUCAAUUGUAAUACAACUAAUGGACAUAUUAAAAAAUAAUUCAUGCUCAAUAUUUUUGAGGUCUUUAGCUAAUACAUCAAAUCUGCAAAGUUUUCAUAUUGCAUUGAAAUAUGAUGCUGGAUUGGAUCAACGAGUGUAUAAUCUGUCUAUUACAAAUGAGAUUACAGCAAUAUAGAUUGAUGAAAGUGAUGAUUGUGCUAUUCAUGUACCAUAUAUUCAAAUGUAUACUCACUGUGACAAAACACAGAAGAUAAACAAUUAUUUUGAUUGCUAUGAUCCUUUACAAUAUUCAUUAUUAUUUUCAUACGGACAAGGAGGGUGCCAUUGUGGUAUUAAAAAGUUUUGCGAUGAAAAUUAACUUCUAAAAAAAUUAUUUUGUCUGACUUUGAACAAUUGCCAAACAUAAAAUACUUUACCACUGUUGAUGAAUUCCUUGAUAUGGAAGCUGAGAAUUUGAAAAAAAAAAAAAAAAAAAUGUAAAAGAAAUACAGUGUCAGUUCGAGAAUAUUAUUGUUAUAAACUUCAGAUGAAAAAUGAUGUUGGAUAUGAAAUUUUACAUACGGAGAGAUUAUUACAACAAUAUUCGAUUGAUGAAUACAUAAAAUUAGAGACAUAAAGAUUAGAUUUUAUUUCAUUGAAUCAAGAUUUGUUCAGAAUGAGCGUGUUUCAAGGACUUCUUGACAUUUUAAGACUUGGUGAACGAGAUUCUUCUAAUGUUGGAAAGAAAAUCUUUCUCCCAAAUUUCUUUACAGACAGACUUAGAUAUAUGGGUCAACGUUAUAUGGAUGCUAUUGUUUUAGUGCAACACUUUGGAAAGGACGAUUUGUUCAUACUUAUAACAUGCAAUUCAUAUUGACUGAAAA
Long non-coding RNA from Capsicum annuum, 1720 nucleotides. RefSeq lists it as uncharacterized. The transcript has 3 exons. The record is from RefSeq and is a predicted model, not a curated record. NCBI's taxonomy places the organism in Eukaryota, Viridiplantae, Streptophyta, Magnoliopsida, Solanales, Solanaceae.